Molecule: ribosomal RNA, 553 nt
Filed under: uncultured archaeon
Lineage: Archaea
Description: bacterial SSU rRNA
Rfam family: Archaeal small subunit ribosomal RNA
Source: RNAcentral
CUCGAGGCCAGAUCUUUCCGGUUGAUCCCGCCGGACCCGACUGCUAUCGGAUUGGGACUAAGCCAUGCGAGUCAACCCGCAAGGGUGGCGCACGGCUCAGUAACACGUAGUCAACCUACCCAGAGGACGAGGAUAACCCCGGGAAACUGGGGAUAAACCUCGAUAGGUCAUAGCUCCUGGAAUGGGCUAUGGCUCAAAUCUAUAUGGCCUCAGGAUGGGACUGCGUCCGAUCAGGUUGUUGGUGGGGUAAUGGCCCACCAAGCCUAUAACCGGUACGGGCUCUGAGAGGAGGAGCCCGGAGAUGGGCACUGAGACAAGGGCCCAGGUCCUAUGGGGCGCAGCAGGCGCGAAACCUCCGCAAUGGGCGAAAGCCCGACGGGGUCAGUCCGAGUGGCUCCCGCUAAGGGAGUCUUUUGCCAGCUGUAAACAGGCUGGUGAAUAAGGGGUGGGCAAGCCUGGUGUCAGCCGCCGCGGUAAUACCAGCACCCCGAGUGGUCGGGAUGAUUAUUGGGCCUAAAGCAUCCGUAGCCGGUGUAACAAGUCCUCCGUUAAA